AAUAAUAGAAUUAAUACUUACAUAUGAUUUGCAUUUGAUAAUAAAAAGAAAGAGAAAAAUGAAAGAUAAAAUAAAUAUUGUCUAUUAUGUUCAACAAAUUUGGCAGUAUGUUCAGCCAAAUUAUGCAUUACGUCCAGUCCAAUAUUUCAAAAAAAAUUAUUUAGCGUUGUGGCUCUUGGUGUUGAGUCCACUGUUGUGAAGCAAAAAAUAAAAAUAAAAACGUUGGGACCGAUGAAAAACUAGUAUGUGAAAAGUA
Molecule: long non-coding RNA, 256 nt
Filed under: Salvia miltiorrhiza (redroot sage)
Lineage: Eukaryota; Viridiplantae; Streptophyta; Magnoliopsida; Lamiales; Lamiaceae
Description: long non-coding RNA (SMIL_LNC012070)
Source: RNAcentral